Molecule: long non-coding RNA, 699 nt
Organism: Homo sapiens (human)
Lineage: Eukaryota; Metazoa; Chordata; Mammalia; Primates; Hominidae
Exons: 3
Source: RefSeq, a predicted model, not a curated record
AGCACCAAGUGAUACAGAGGAAAUCUCAGGCUAGAUUAGUUGAUACCAUAUUCAGAAAGAAAGAGAUCAAGAAAUUACUUCACUCUUAAAACAUCCCUCUGCAAUCCAUCUUCUGUCACAACUGACUCCUGAGAAUUCUCUCACAAUCUCUUCUGGCACUCUUCCUCCUUCUAAUCAAGAGGAAAAUAGCACACCAUUUCAUCAACAUGACAUCCCCUCUCAUCGUUUUCCAGUUCUCCAUUUAUGUGCUGAUUAAACUAGCUUCUGCUAAUAUGGAUUUCAAGGAUAAUUUUUUAACACUGAUAGCUUAACAUAUUAUUGACUUAAUGAUAUGAUCAAGUGGCAAUCAGGACUCCUUUAAAUGUGGGUGAGGUUUCUAUUUUUUUGAGAAGGAGCAAUAUAAUAGUUUAAAAUUACAUUAAACAAUGAAGGUGUGUUUUAAGCACUGGGACAUAAGACCAGGAUUUACAUUGCUAUGUUUGCUGCUGUAUUCUCAACUUGUAGAUGGAUGCCUGGCACACAGUAGGUGGAUAUUUGUUAAAGCAAUGAAGAACGACAUGUGAAUGGAAAAUGAUGUGGCAAUACAGAAUUGUGACUAUCCUACUCAAUGUGAUGACGAUGAAGACCUUAAUGAUGAUCUAUUUCCUCUCAAUGAAUAGCUGGAGUGCAGAGGCACCAUCUCUGCUCACUGCAACCUCC